RNAcentral lists this ribosomal RNA (497 nucleotides) under uncultured bacterium. RNAcentral describes it as "partial 16S ribosomal RNA". It matches the Rfam family "Bacterial small subunit ribosomal RNA", at positions 28 to 507 of the family's 1533-position model. The record is from RNAcentral.
GAUGAACGCUGGCGGCGUGCCUAAUACAUGCAAGUCGAGCGAACAGACGAGGAGCUUGCUCCUCUGACGUUAGCGGCGGACGGGUGAGUAACACGUGGAUAACCUACCUAUAAGACUGGGAUAACUUCGGGAAACCGGAGCUAAUACCGGAUAAUAUAUUGAACCGCAUGGUUCAAUAGUGAAAGACGGUUUUGCUGUCACUUAUAGAUGGAUCCGCGCCGCAUUAGCUAGUUGGUAAGGUAACAGCUUACCAAGGCAACGAUGCGUAGCCGACCUGUGAGGGUGAUCGGCCACACUGGAACUGAGACACGGUCCAGACUCCUACGGGAGGCAGCAGUAGGGAAUCUUCCGCAAUGGGCGAAAGCCUGACGGAGCAACGCCGCGUGAGUGAUGAAGGUCUUCGGAUCGUAAAACUCUGUUAUUAGGGAAGAACAAAUGUGUAAGUAACUAUGCACGUCUUGACGGUACCUAAUCAGAAAGCCACGGCUAACUACGUG